GACUACAUGAAGCUGGAAUCGCUAGUAAUCGCGGAUCAGAAUGCCGCGGUGAAUACGUUCCCGGGUCUUGUACACACCGCCCGUCACACCAUGGGAGCCGGUAACGCCCGAAGUCAGUGACCCAACCGAGAGGAGGGAGCUGCCGAAGGCGGGACAGGUAACUGGGGUGAAGUCGUAACAAGGUAUC
RNAcentral lists this ribosomal RNA (187 nucleotides) under uncultured bacterium. RNAcentral's name for it is "partial 16S ribosomal RNA". It matches the Rfam family "Bacterial small subunit ribosomal RNA", at positions 1314 to 1500 of the family's 1533-position model. The record is from RNAcentral.